Molecule: non-coding RNA, 112 nt
Organism: Acanthosepion pharaonis
Lineage: Eukaryota; Metazoa; Mollusca; Cephalopoda; Sepiida; Sepiidae
Source: the annotation of a GenBank genome assembly
AUGAUCAUAGCACAGUGAAACACUGAUUCUCAUGCGAUCACCAAAGUUAGGCAAUGUUGAGCCUGGUUAGUACCUAGAUGGGUAACCGCUUGGAAAUACCAGUUGCUGUAAU